Molecule: ribosomal RNA, 244 nt
Filed under: uncultured bacterium
Lineage: Bacteria
Description: partial 16S ribosomal RNA
Rfam family: Bacterial small subunit ribosomal RNA
Source: RNAcentral
GUGAUAUUAAGCAAAACCCAAAAAGACAGUCUCAGUUCGGAUUGAAGGCUGAAAUUCGCCUUCAUGAAGCCGGAAUUGCUAGUAAUGGCAGGUCAGCAUACUGCCGUGAAUACGUUCCCGGGCCUUGUACACACCGCCCGUCACACCAUGAGAGUUGGGGAUACCCGAAGCCUGUGAGCUAACAGUAAUGAAGCAGCAGUCGAAGGUAGAAUCAAUGAUUGGGGUGAAGUCGUAACAAGGUACC